UAGGGAAUCUUCCACAAUAGACGCAAGUCUGAUGGAGCAACGCCGCGUGAGUGAAGAAGGUCUUCGGAUCGUAAAGCUCUGUUGUUGGUGAAGAAGGAUAGAGGCAGUAACUGGUCUUUAUUUGACGGUAAUCAACCAGAAAGUCACGGCUAACUACGUGCCAGCAGCCGCGGUAAUACGUAGGUGGCAAGCGUUGUCCGGAUUUAUUGGGCGUAAAGCGAGCGCAGGCGGAAUGAUAAGUCUGAUGUGAAAGCCCACGGCUCAACCGUGGAACUGCAUCGGAAACUGUCAUUCUUGAGUGCAGAAGAGGAGAGUGGAACUCCAUGUGUAGCGGUGGAAUGCGUAGAUAUAUGGAAGAACACCAGUGGCGAAGGCGGCUCUCUGGUCUGCAACUGACGCUGAGGCUCGAAAGCAUGGGUAGCGAACAGGAUUAGAUACCCUGGUAGUCCAUGCCGUAAACGAUGAGCGCUAGGUGUUGGGGACUUUCCGGUCCUCAGUGCCGCAGCAAACGCAUUAAGCGCUCCGCCUGGGGAGUACGACCGCAAGGUUGAAAC
Molecule: ribosomal RNA, 554 nt
Filed under: uncultured bacterium
Lineage: Bacteria
Description: partial 16S ribosomal RNA
Rfam family: Bacterial small subunit ribosomal RNA
Source: RNAcentral